UACGUAGGGCGCGAGCGUUAAUCGGAAUUACUGGGCGUAAAGCGUGCGCAGGCGGUUUUGUAAGCCAGAUGUGAAAUCCCCGGGCUCAACCUGGGAAUGGCAUUUGGGACUGCAAGGCUGGAGUGCGGCAGAGGAGACUGGAAUUCCUGGUGUAGCAGUGAAAUGCGUAGAUAUCAGGAGGAAUACCGAUGGCGAAGGCAGGUCUCUGGGCUGACACUGACGCUCAUGCACGAAAGCGUGGGGAGCAAACAGG
RNAcentral lists this ribosomal RNA (253 nucleotides) under uncultured bacterium. RNAcentral's name for it is "partial 16S ribosomal RNA". It matches the Rfam family "Bacterial small subunit ribosomal RNA", at positions 524 to 776 of the family's 1533-position model. The record is from RNAcentral.